Molecule: long non-coding RNA, 763 nt
Organism: Erigeron canadensis
Lineage: Eukaryota; Viridiplantae; Streptophyta; Magnoliopsida; Asterales; Asteraceae
Exons: 2
Source: RefSeq, a predicted model, not a curated record
CUUAAAAUUAAGAACAAAGGACAAGUUUGAACCAAAGUUUAAUAAGACUUUAUUUCUCAUCUCUUUCUAUACAUAUAUGGUUGAAAGGGCUUCUUUCCACGACAUUUUACAUAUACAAAUAACAAUGGUGUAAAUUCAAUCACCAUUACCACCGUAUAGCACAGGAGCAGCCAUCAUCAACACUAACAGUAAACCAACUGUCAACUCCAUCUCCACCACCACCCCGGCCAGCAAGCCACCAUGAGCUGCGGAAACAUCCACCACCAGCAACCACCUUGAACCGCAGUGAAGACAUGAUCAAGGAGGUAGGACUGGAUAAUGGAAGCUGAGAUGAUAACUCCAUAUGCAAGUCUGUGUGCCAACUCAAUGUAUUGUGUAUCACCAUAAAUCCUGAUUUCAACACUAUUGACCGAUUUGACAUACAACACUCUUAGAGCAUAUUUCAUAAAAAUCAGAGAUUGUUUGUGAACUAAGCUCCAAGAGUUGUUGUAUGUCAUAUCGGUCAAUAGUGUUGGAAAUCAGGAUUUAUGAUAUGACAUACACAAUACAUUGAGUUUGCACAUAUAGACUUAUAAAACUUCAUCACUCAUGCUCUUUCCUAAGUUACUUGUUUUGAUCAGGGAUCCGUGAGGAUUUAAAUUAAUUAUUAUGCAACUAAAAUGUACUCUAAGAUAGUGAUCUUUUGAUAAUGAAAACCAAUGUUAGUUCUUUGAUGUUUGUUAUUACUAUAUCUAAUAGAUUUGGUUAGUGCCUGGCUUCUUAA